Molecule: long non-coding RNA, 259 nt
Filed under: Trifolium pratense (red clover)
Lineage: Eukaryota; Viridiplantae; Streptophyta; Magnoliopsida; Fabales; Fabaceae
Description: long non-coding RNA (TPRA_LNC008080)
Source: RNAcentral
CGCCGUAGCGCCGCCGUUCAUCUCCCGCCGUCCAUCUCUAUCCCAGUGUCACAAACCACCGCUAUUGUUGUUGGUUAUGCUAUUAUUGAUUCCAAAACUCUGCAAUUUAUGUUGAUGUUGAGCUUGCAAAAAAAUUCUACUUUGUUAAUGCAAAAUCAGAUUUCAUUUAAUCAAAGUGUAGAUUCGUAGAAUAUCAUUUUCUCCCAUUUUUCAAUUUUGCGAUUCAACAAAUCUACAAUAGAGGUCACGCCGGAGACUU